Long non-coding RNA from Balaenoptera musculus (blue whale), 136 nucleotides. RefSeq lists it as uncharacterized. The transcript is spliced from 3 exons. The record is from RefSeq and is a predicted model, not a curated record. Lineage: Eukaryota; Metazoa; Chordata; Mammalia; Artiodactyla; Balaenopteridae.
GGAGACUGGAGUUCAGCGGUGUGCUUUUUUACUUCGGCUGGUCCGCGUGCAGUGGUGUUUACAAUUAAUUGAUCACAGCCAGUUACAGAUUUCUUUGUUCCUUCUCCACUCCCACUGCUUCACUUGACUAGCCUUU